AACGCGAAGAACCUUACCAAGUCUUGACAUCCCCCUGACCGGUCCGUAACGGGAUCUUCUCUUCGGAGCAGGGGAGACAGGUGGUGCAUGGUUGUCGUCAGCUCGUGUCGUGAGAUGUUGGGUUAAGUCCCGCAACGAGCGCAACCCUUAUCUUUAGUAGCCAGCAUGUUGUGGUGGGCACUCUAGAGAGACUGCCAGGGAGAACCUGGAGGAAGGUGGGGAUGACGUCAAAUCAUCAUGCCCCUCAUGACUUGGGCUACACACGUGCUACAAUGGCGUAAACAAAGGGAAGCAGCCCUGUGAAGGUGAGCAAAUCCCAAAAAUAACGUCUCAGUUCGGAUUGUAGUCUGCAACUCGACUACAUGAAGCUGGAAUCGCUAGUAAUCGCGAAUCAGAAUGUCGCGGUGAAUACGUUCCCGGGUCUUGUACACACCG
Molecule: ribosomal RNA, 435 nt
Filed under: uncultured bacterium
Lineage: Bacteria
Description: bacterial SSU rRNA
Rfam family: Bacterial small subunit ribosomal RNA
Source: RNAcentral